GACGAACGCUGGCGGCGUGCUUAACACAUGCAAGUCGAGCGGAGCGGCGAACGGGUGAGUAACGCGUGAGUAACUGCCCCCCUCUCUGGGAUAACAGAUGGAAACGGCCGCUAAUACCGGCAAGUGGGGGGGGACUCGCGUCCUAUCAGCAUGUUGGUGGGGUAGUGGCCUACCAAGGCGACGACGGGUAGCCGGCCUUAGAGGUUGACCGGCCACGUUGGGCUGAGAUACGGCCCAGACUCCGACGGGAGGCAGCAGUGGGGGAUAGUGCACAAUGGGCGAAAGCCUGAUGCAGCGACGCCGCGUGGGGGAUGAAGGCUUUCGGGUUGUAAACCUCUUUCGCUAUCGAAAGGGUAGGUGGAGGAGAAGCGCCGGCUAACUACGUGCCAGCAGCCGCGGUAAUAC
Molecule: ribosomal RNA, 405 nt
Filed under: uncultured bacterium
Lineage: Bacteria
Description: partial 16S ribosomal RNA
Rfam family: Bacterial small subunit ribosomal RNA
Source: RNAcentral